Pan troglodytes (chimpanzee) is the source of this 702-nucleotide long non-coding RNA. RefSeq lists it as uncharacterized. Lineage: Eukaryota; Metazoa; Chordata; Mammalia; Primates; Hominidae. The record is from RefSeq and is a predicted model, not a curated record. The transcript is spliced from 5 exons.
GAGAAGAAAUGGCGGCACGAAAAGUGUUGCGGAGGAUGCGGAGUUCCCAGUCCCGCCAUGCUGUAGGCGUUGAAAAAUGAUCUCCUUGCACCCCAAAAUAGCACAGAGGAGGCCCUGAAACCAGAUGGGGCCACGUGGGUGGAAACAAGGAGGUUCUCUUCAGUGGCUGGCACUAAACAGCACCCAAGGAACAAUCAGGAUGAAGGUCUCAGCCGAUGCCGCUGUGGCUAGAUGACGAAAGAGGUUCUUCUAGACUUCCACCUCUCUUGUAAGACCAGCAGAAUCUCCCAUAGUGUAUCUUCUCUGGGACUGGUUGUUCUGCAUUGGGAACAUGCCUUGGAGCUCCUAGUCUGCAGCACCCACAAUGCCCAAAGCAGUUUGGACCUGAUUAAAGAAGGACAACAAAGGCCAAUUUGCCAUCACCAAAGGAGCAGCUUGACCUGGAGGGAUGAGGCCUGGAGGCCGACAGCAGGACCCCGUCAGUGAUUCUUUCGGCUCUUGAAAAUGGUAAAUAUCUAGAAGAUAACCUGCUGGGUCAUGAGGUAAAAAUUCUUAUGGACUGGAAUCUUCCUCAAGGCUUACUUUGUUCCUGGGAUGCAGUGGUGCAUAGAAGAUAGGGCAUUGACUCACUCAGACCUGGCUUGCCCAGCAUGCAUUGCAACAAUAAUGUGCAAGUUAUUAAAGACAUGAGUGAAUUCGUAA